CUUUACUAACAUGGUAUAACUGUGGUAAUUCUAGAGCUAAUACAUGCUUUAAAAUCUCGACCCUUUGGAAGAGAUGUAUUUAUUAGAUAAAAAAAUCAAUGUCUUCGGACUCUUUGAUGAUUCAUAAUAACUUUUCGAAUCGCAUGGCCUUGUGCUGGCGAUGGUUCAUUCAAAUUUCUGCCCUAUCAACUUUCGAUGGUAGGAUAGUGGCCUACCAUGGUUUCAACGGGUAACGGGGAAUAAGGGUUCGAUUCCGGAGAGGGAGCCUGAGAAACGGCUACCACAUCCAAGGAAGGCAGCAGGCGCGCAAAUUACCCAAUCCUAAUUCAGGGAGGUAGUGACAAUAAAUAACGAUACAGGGCCCAUUCGGGUCUUGUAAUUGGAAUGAGUACAAUGUAAAUACCUUAACGAGGAACAAUUGGAGGGCAAGUCUGGUGCCAGCAGCCGCGGUAAUUCCAGCUCCAAUAGCGUAUAUUAAAGUUGUUGCAGUUAAAAAGCUCGUAGUUGAACUUUGGGCCCGGUUGGCCGGUCCGAUUUUUUCGUGUACUGGAUUUCCAACGGGGCCUUUCCUUCUGGCUAACCUUGAGUCCUUGUGGCUCUUGGCGAACCAGGACUUUUACUUUGAAAAAAUUAGAGUGUUCAAAGCAGGCGUAUUGCUCGAAUAUAUUAGCAUGGAAUAAUAGAAUAGGACGUUUGGUUCUAUUUUGUUGGUUUCUAGGACCAUUGUAAUGAUUAAUAGGGACGGUCGGGGGCAUCAGUAUUCAAUUGUCAGAGGUGAAAUUCUUGGAUUUAUUGAAGACUAACUACUGCGAAAGCAUUUGCCAAGGACGUUUUCAUUAAUCAAGAACGAAAGUUAGGGGAUCGAAGAUGAUCAGAUACCGUCGUAGUCUUAACCAUAAACUAUGCCGACUAGGGAUCA
This 919-nucleotide ribosomal RNA is filed under the name uncultured Saccharomyces. Its description in RNAcentral is "SSU rRNA". It matches the Rfam family "Eukaryotic small subunit ribosomal RNA", at positions 129 to 1055 of the family's 1831-position model. Lineage: Eukaryota; Fungi; Ascomycota; Saccharomycetes; Saccharomycetales; Saccharomycetaceae. The record is from RNAcentral.